Long non-coding RNA from Drosophila innubila, 161 nucleotides. RefSeq lists it as uncharacterized. NCBI's taxonomy places the organism in Eukaryota, Metazoa, Arthropoda, Insecta, Diptera, Drosophilidae. The transcript has 2 exons. The record is from RefSeq and is a predicted model, not a curated record.
CUUGAGCGUAUGCAAAAGAUUUUUGCACAUAUUCAUCUUUUUGGCCGUUUUCGGUGCUUUUUGACUGUUUGGAACAUUUUUAAAGAUUACGUUAAAACGUUGUUGAUACUUAUUAAACUAUUGUUUUGUUAAUUAAAAUAAUAAUCAUAAUUAUAAUAAUA